This 346-nucleotide ribosomal RNA is filed under the name uncultured bacterium. RNAcentral describes it as "partial 16S ribosomal RNA". It matches the Rfam family "Bacterial small subunit ribosomal RNA", at positions 338 to 681 of the family's 1533-position model. The record is from RNAcentral.
CCUACGGGUGGCUGCAGUGAGGAAUAGUGGUCAAUGGGAGGAAUCCUGAACCAGCCAUGCCGCGUGCAGGACGACGGCUCUACGAGUUGUAAACUGCUGUUGUAGCGGGGUAAAAUGCGCUACGAGUAGGGUUUUGAAAGUACGGUACGAAUAAGGAUCGGCUAACUCCGUGCCGGCAGCCGCGGUAAUACGGAGGAUCCGAGCGUUAUCCGGAUUCAUUGGGUUUAAAGGGUGCGUAGGUUGUUUUAUAAGUUAGCGGUGAACUACCGAUGCUCAACCUCGGGGCUGCCGCUCAUACGGGCGGACUAGAGCUCGGAUGCAGCAGGCGGAAUGUGUCGUGUAGCGG